This 68-nucleotide transfer RNA is filed under the name bovine gut metagenome. The stretch from base 5 to 63 matches the Rfam family "tRNA", at positions 8 to 63 of the family's 71-position model. From Rfam's summary of the family: Transfer RNA (tRNA) molecules are approximately 80 nucleotides in length. The record is from RNAcentral.
CUGGUAGUUCAGUUGGUUAGAACGCUAGCCUGUCACGCUAGAGGUCGAGGGUUCAAAUCCCUCUGUCA